RNAcentral lists this long non-coding RNA (346 nucleotides) under Erythranthe guttata (spotted monkey flower). RNAcentral describes it as "long non-coding RNA (EGUT_LNC000846)". Lineage: Eukaryota; Viridiplantae; Streptophyta; Magnoliopsida; Lamiales; Phrymaceae. The record is from RNAcentral.
UCUUGUUUUGCUUAGCCUCAAAGCUUACACAUAAUCAACAAUGGAGAAUUCAAGAAAUGGUGGAGGAUUUCCACCUGUUAGAGGGCGGAUUAAAGCAAUAAUAUUUCGUAAACUGUGGAAGAAAUUGAAGUUUUGGUGCAACACAGUUUUGGGGAGAACGUGAGAAUAUGUUUUAUUUGUCUGAAAUUCGGGUUUUAAACCAAUUAUUUGAUAAUUUAUAUACGUUAAUUACUAUGGUUUCUGGUUUAUGGUUAGAACGCGCAUCACCUCUUCUUCUUUUUUAUUUGCAUAUGUUGUAUUAUUUCAUUGUUUGAAUUGUGUUGUUCGUAACAUAUAUAUACGUGCA